This is a long non-coding RNA of Piliocolobus tephrosceles (Ugandan red Colobus), 2210 nucleotides long. Lineage: Eukaryota; Metazoa; Chordata; Mammalia; Primates; Cercopithecidae. The record is from Ensembl.
AGCACAUAAAUUAAAAAUAGCAUUUUUAUGUGGUCACAUAUAUAUCAACUAUUUAUUACAGUUCCAUAUAUCAUCAACCGAAAAAAAAAGAAAAGUGCUUUUAAUGUUAGCAAAUUUGAAAACAGAACAUGAUGAUGCUAGAAUAUCUAUUUUAAAUGCUUUGUAUUUAUUUUUAAAUAGAUCUAAAAUUAAAUCAUUAAAAGAAGAAUAUUUCCAUGUUAUUUUUAUUACCAUCUUAACAAAUUUCUCAAAUGAAACAAACCAUAAAUGUAAAAAAAUGUUUAUGUUUUUAUUAUCUUUGCUUUUUAAUAAAGUAAAUGAUAUUUAUUAUAUCUUUGAAUCAUAUCAAAUCAUAAAAAAACUGUUUUCCUACAAUUAUAUAAAAAAUUCAUUCAUAUAUACCUAUUUACAUAUCCUACCAUUAUAUACAUCCCUUUUUUAUAAACAUUGUGAAACCUAUUGUGACUUGAUAAAAAAAUUCGACUUAUACAUUAUGACUACAUUAGAAAUGAAUACAAAACAAAAACAUACUAGGUUAAUGUUAAAAAAAGAAUAUAAAAAAAUAAAUGAAAGAAAUGAUAUUACGAACGUACCUUUCUUGAUACAUAACUUAGCUGAAUGUACAGAUACAAAUAAAAAUGAUAUAUAUAAACACCUUUUAAACGAAUUGAUAAUGUUUUAUAAUGACAAUAAGAAGAAAACUAAGAAUGAAAGUAAAAAUAAAGCAAUAGACAUAUAUAAUAAUUUAACAAAUGUACUAAACCAAAGUAAUACUAUUACUGAUAAAACAGAAAACAUAAUGAAUCUUUUUAUUAAAAACCAAUUACAAGAUUUAUUUUUAAUAUUAAUGUUUUAUUUAAUUGGAACGAAUUAUCCUAUUAUCCAAACGAUUUUAAAAGAUAAUGAAUACUUUUAUACAUUUCUUACAUCUGAUAGUAACAUAUCCUAUUUCAGCAACAGAUAUGACAUUUAUAAAAAUAUGUUUACAAAAGAUUUUAUACAUUUAUUUUACAAAAGUAUAGAACGUGUUUUUUGUUUUAUAAAUAUAGAGUUAAUAGAUAGUUUGUUGAUGUAUGACCAGAUACAUGAUAUGUAUAAAUUUUAUUUAAGACGAGACAAAAUGGGUCGUGUGUCCUUCGUAAGAAAGUACAAAAUGGAUGAUGAUGAUGAUGAUGAUAAUGAUAGUACUAGCGCUAACUGCGAUUUACCUUGCUAUGAAAAAACAAAUAAUAAUGACAAUAAUAAGGAUAGUAGUAAGGAUAGUAGUAAUAAACUGUGUUUAUAUUUUUUAUAUUUUUGGAACCUUCUUUUACAUAACGGAUUAUACAAUACCAAUCCAUAUGUACAAAUAAUAUCCUUAAAAAUAAUAUUUAAUUAUAUAAAUAAAAAACUCACUGGUCAUUCCUUCCCCUUAUUAUUAAUUAAAUUAAACGGUACUGAUAAGUUUAUUAUUAAUAUUAUUAUUAAAAAACUUUUAUCAUUACUUUUAAAUUCUCAUUUUUUAGAACAUUUUUAUAUAUAUAAUGAAGAAAUUGCUCAAUAUAUUUCAAAUAUAUGUAAAUUGUUAAUUCAGUUUCCGUGGUUAACGAAUGGACAUGAGGAUGGAAAUGCGAUAAGCGAACUAAAUAAAGAAUUAUAUGAAAAGGAUAUAAAUAAAAUACCAUUGUCUUCAGUAAAAGAACUUAAUUAUAAUGAAAAAAUAGAUAUUAUUCAUACCACAAAUAUUAUUAAUAAGGGACAUAGUGAUAAUAACAGUACAAGUUAUCCCAAUGGAAAUGGUGAAAACGGUGAAAACGACAACGACGACAUUAACAAUAAUGAAGAAUUUAAAACUUUAAACAAAAUACUACAAAACGAACAAGGUGUCGAAUAUUUGGAAUACAUUCAUAAUACAUGCAAUAAUAAAAAUGAACAUAAUGAACAUAAUGAAUACAAACUUAGCAAAGAUUUUAAAAUAAAUAAAGAAAUAUUAUCCUAUAGUAAAUUUUUUUUAAUAAUUGUUACUUUAUCACGUGCAAUAAGCAUGCAUUUACAAAAUAAAAAUCAAUCAUUUACAAAAAUAAUAACAAUAUUAAAUGUUUAUAAAAAUAUAAUUAAUGACUUACCAUUAAAAAUAUGGAGUCCAAAAAACGGAAUAAUAUUAAGUGUUAUGACCCCUUUGUAUAAAGUAGCUUCCAUUUUUAAAAAAAGGUACAUAUAUGCACAUACAC